UUGUCACACAGCCACGCGGCAGAAGGAUGGACACACAUGUUUGUCACACAGCCACGCGGCAGAAGGAUGGACACACAUGUUUGUCACACAGCCACGCGGCAGAAGGAUGGACACACAUGUUUGGAAAGCAUUUUAUCAGCAGCAAAGGAAACUGGAAACUAACCCAAUAGCUGGCUUUUUGAAAACACAAUGCGAUGCUACACAGCGAAGUUAAGGACAUGGAUAAACACAUGUUGCACCAUACAGAAUGCAUGCUAUAGAGAAGUGAAAAGACAGUAUGUGUUAUGUGACCGUAGUUCAGAUGGCAGAUAGCGGGCGAUUUUUACUUUGAUUUUCUUAUUUAUUUUUCCCCAAAAAUAAACAUGUAUUGCCUUCAGCUAAGGAAACUAAAAGUUGUGACAACUCAAAUAAUAAACAAAUUAGUGCCAACAGUUACAGCUAAGACUUAAAGUCAGAAUCUAUUAAUCACGCUUACUUUCUAUAUACCAAAAACCAUAUCCCCAUUUUAAUAUUUAAAUUUUCUCUAGAGCAGAUCUCUAGCUAUAAAGCUUAUUUAAAAUGUAAAGAUCUAAUAAAUAAAAUUGACACCAAGUGUGCAAAACAUCAACUCUACUCAUCAAGUCCAAACUGAAAUGGAAGUCAAAGGAUUCUAAAGAUGAAGGAGUUGGCCAUGAGGCUCAGCAACAAAACGUUGCCUGGCAGACACAGAGCCCUGGGUCCAACCCAACUCUGAAAAGAAACAGAAAGUGAGCGUGAGCUGGCCGAGCCUCUCCUGAAAGUGACUUAUGAAGACGUGCUUGAAGCUUUGAGAGCUGCGCAAGCCUUUGUCUCUGCUCUGCUCUACAGGUGCAGUCUAACGACGCACCCGGAGAAGGGAUCCGUAACCAAACCCUACAGACCAGGCUUACCCAGCAGCUAAGGUAGAGCCAGAAAGCGCUGGUUUGAGAAGGCUGAGGCCCUGUGUUUAGCUGCACAGUUCCAGCAACCAGGACAAGGCAGCACCCAACUCAGUUCCUGCUCAGCGAUGGGAGCUGCUCUGCUCCACCUGUUUUCCUGAAGCUGUCCGUCAGGUACUCUGCCACAGCAAUGGAAGUCUGACUAGCACACGGACGCCACUAACAUCAAGGAUCCCAAGAUGAAGAGCACCUGUACUUCAGUCUCCGAGGGAACCAACCCUGCCCAUACUUUCAUGUCAACUUUCUACCUCUAGAGCUAAGAGAAAGCUCGUCACUUUCAAAGCCUGGCCUACAGGCUCCCAGCAGCCCUGUCUGUAUGGACUGUGCAGCUUUUGAGAAGGACGCAGAGCACUUAAAUUUAGGGCCGGUGAGAUGGCGCGUUGGUAACUGUGCUGGUUGCUGAGCCUGACUACCUGAGUUCCAUCCCUGGAGCUGCACAGAGAAGAAGAAGACCAACUUCACUCUCUUCUGACCUGUACCCGUGGUCCUUAGCACCCCACCCACAAAUAAACAACAAACAGACCCCAAAUAAACUCCAAUGUUUCUCACGUUGUUUUUAUUUUUCUUGCAAUUUUUUGCAUUAAAGAAAUUUGGCUCCUCUUUUUUUUUUUAAUUUGAAUGUAAGUUAGUAUGUUCUGUGUAUAAUAUACAUAAGAAUUAUGUAUUUCAGUUACAUACUGAUCAUCUUGUUUUCAAAUCUGAUAGAUUUAUAGGUAUUACAGGCUUCUGUUUUCUAUGUGGAUAGGGUUUUCUUACAGCCUGCACACGGCUGCCACUGUUCAUUUUCUUUCAGUUAAAAUACUGAAAAAAUGUAUGUGUGGGUGUUCUGCCUGUAUGUAUGUCUGGACACCAUGUGUGUGCCUAGGGCCCAGGGAGGUC
Molecule: long non-coding RNA, 1835 nt
Organism: Alexandromys fortis (reed vole)
Lineage: Eukaryota; Metazoa; Chordata; Mammalia; Rodentia; Cricetidae
Exons: 3
Source: RefSeq, a predicted model, not a curated record